GACGAACGCUGGCGGUGUGCUUAACACAUGCAAGUCGAACGGCAAGGCCCUGCUUUCGUGCGGUGCCCGGGUGGGGAACGGGUGCGUAACACGUGAGUAACCUGACCUAGUCUUUGGGAUAACUUCAGGAAAGUGGGGCUAAUCCAGUAUAGGAGACCCCGCUGCGUGGUGGGGGUGGGAACGUUUCGGCGGUAGGGGAUGGACGGGCGGCUUAUGAGCUAGUUGGUAGGGGAGUGGCUUACCAAGCAUUUGACGGGUAGGCCGCCUGAGAGGGGGAACGGCCACAAGAGGACUGAGAGAGGGCCCAGUCGCCAACGGGAGGCAGCAGGGGGGAACAUUGCACAAUGGUCGGGAGCCUGAUGCAACAACGUCGCGGUCGGGAUGACGGCCUUCGGGGUGAGAACCGCUGUCGGCUGUGACGAAGCGGUAGUGACGGUAACGAGUAAAGAAGCACCGGCUAACUACGUG
Molecule: ribosomal RNA, 468 nt
Filed under: uncultured bacterium
Lineage: Bacteria
Description: partial 16S ribosomal RNA
Rfam family: Bacterial small subunit ribosomal RNA
Source: RNAcentral